AUUGAACGCUGGCGGCAUGCCUUACACAUGCAAGUCGAACGGCAGCACGGGUGCUUGCACCUGGUGGCGAGUGGCGCACGGGUGAGUAAUACAUCGGAACAUGUCCUGUAGUGGGGGAUAGCCCGGCGAAAGCCGGAUUGAUACCGCAUACGAUCUACGGAUGCAAGCGGGGGCCCUUCGGGCCUCGCGCUUUGGGGUUGGCCAAUGGCGGAUUAGCUAGUUGGUGGGGUAAAGGCCUACCAAGGCGACGAUCAGUAGCUGGUCUGAGAGGACGACCAGCCACACUGGGACUGAGACACGGCCCAGACUCCUACGGGAGGCAGCAGUGGGGAAUCUUGGACAAUGGGCGAAAGCCUGAUCCAGCAACGCCGCGUGUGUGAAGAAGGCCUUCGGGUUGUAAAGCACUGUUGUCCGGAAAGAAAUCCUUGGCACUAAUACGGUCGGGGGAUGACGGUACCGGAAGAAUAAGCACCGGCUAACUACGUG
RNAcentral lists this ribosomal RNA (486 nucleotides) under uncultured bacterium. RNAcentral's name for it is "partial 16S ribosomal RNA". It matches the Rfam family "Bacterial small subunit ribosomal RNA", at positions 29 to 507 of the family's 1533-position model. The record is from RNAcentral.